This is a long non-coding RNA of Bactrocera oleae (olive fruit fly), 1568 nucleotides long. RefSeq lists it as uncharacterized. The record is from RefSeq and is a predicted model, not a curated record. Lineage: Eukaryota; Metazoa; Arthropoda; Insecta; Diptera; Tephritidae.
UUGUAAGUUCGUUUAUAUUUUUUUGUGUAAUUUUUCGUGAAAAUGAAGUCUUCCAAACAUAUGAGAACUCUCUUAACAUACGUACACUCUCACCGUCGCUUCUUUUUCUUGCUUUAAAACGCCGCGUGUCAAUAAGAAAUUAGCCAAAAAAGGAAAGAAACGAGCGUUGAGAAGCGUAAAAUUAUAUUGAACGCUUAUAAACAGCAAGGGACUAUUCGGAAAAUCUGUGGAUUAGUUCAACGACCCUACCACAUUAUAAAUCGUUUUAACAAUGACCCAGAUUGAGAGUAUCAACCGGGAAGUUGGAGACCACCUACGCUAUAAGACAGGGACAAACGGGAAAUAGUAAAGAAACAAAAAGUAUUCUAUGUCCGUCCCCUGGUUCUAAUUUCAAAUCGAUUCAGCCGUUCUUGAGCUAUAAAUAGUGUAACUAACAGGACUUAUAUAUAUAUAUAUAUAUAUAUAUCUAUUAUAUAUAAAAGUUUUCUGCUGCUGUCGAGAAUCAACUAACAUAAGAGCGAGCUAGCUCGCGCUCGGCGGGGGGCGGACGUAGGCGAGCGAGCGAAGCGAGCGUCCCGGAGCGCAGCGGAGGGCGCCUAGUAUAUAUGACGGUGACAUUUGUCCAUAAGAAAUAUGUAUUUUAAUUAUAGCCCAUAUAUCACACCGAAUCACGCAAUGUUAAUUAAAAUAUUCCUGUUAUACGCAACCAAGAGGACAAAAUUUAAUCUAUUGGGUAUAUGAAUAAAUUGUCAACCGGAAGAGCGGAAAUCAUUACAUUGGGGACAUGAGAAACAUGUGCAGCACUGGGGUUAAGAACACAUAUACAUUUACUUUCAUUAAAAUAUUACAAAUAUUGGCCAUACAAAUUAGUCGGUAAGUCGUGCUAGAGGUAGGGUACUGUUUGCAUUUCUUUUUAGCGGUAAACUGAACCAUACUUUCAGAAAUUUCCACUCAUUUUUAUUAAGAUAACCCUCUUAAAGAAAAUCAUUAUACGCAGGGUAUGAGGACUGCAUACUAAGGUAUGGAUAUCCAAGAUAAACGUUCACUUCAUUUUGUCAAAAUAUAUUAUUGACAUAUUAUAAAUAUAUAAUAUUAUAAUAUAAGAUAUAUGAUAGCUAUAGUAAAUACAGAACCGAUCUUUUUCCAUUUAUAGUACUAUUACACAUUAUUAUAUAUAAAAUAUGCCCUCUUUGUUUAAUUAAGACAAUCACCCAGAAGUGGCCAGGUUUGCUAAUAAGAGAGUAAUUGUGUUCUCUUCAGGGCAACCCAGGCCACACACAUUCAGAGAGACUCGCCAGAUGCUACGGGAGCUUGGUUGGGAUAUUCUUAUGCAUCCACCGUAUAUUUCGGAUCUUGCACCAAGUGAUUAUAACCUGUUUCUGUUUAUGAGGAAUGAUUUUACUGGUAAAAUAAAAUCGUCACAAGAGAAACAUGUGAAAUCAACUGUCGUAGUUUUCGUCAAUAGCGACUGUAUGGACAUUAUAAAACUACCUUCAAUAUGGUAACAAGUUAUCAAACAAAACGGUCCAUAUUUGACCUUAGUCUAAACAUUCUAACUGUACGCAUGC